Long non-coding RNA from Anguilla rostrata (American eel), 174 nucleotides. RefSeq lists it as uncharacterized. The transcript is spliced from 2 exons. The record is from RefSeq and is a predicted model, not a curated record. NCBI's taxonomy places the organism in Eukaryota, Metazoa, Chordata, Actinopteri, Anguilliformes, Anguillidae.
CACCCACCUUCCAGAGGGCUGGAGACCAGGCCCUAGCUUGGGAGAUACCAUCCUACUCCUGCUAUGGGUGUUGACAAUAUGGAGAACCGGGAUAACUGGACUAAAAAGAAAGUUGUGAGACUGUCUGCGGAAAGAAACGCUGCCAUGAAUGAAAUUUUAGAUCUGCAGAAAAGG